Molecule: ribosomal RNA, 497 nt
Filed under: uncultured bacterium
Lineage: Bacteria
Description: partial 16S ribosomal RNA
Rfam family: Bacterial small subunit ribosomal RNA
Source: RNAcentral
GACGAACGCUGGUGGCGUGCCUAAUACAUGCAAGUUGAGCGCUGAAGGUUGGUACUUGUACCAACUGGAUGAGCAGCGAACGGGUGAGUAACGCGUGGGGAAUCUGCCUUUGAGCGGGGGACAACAUUUGGAAACGAAUGCUAAUACCGCAUAAAAACUUUAAACACAAGUUUUAAGUUUGAAAGAUGCAAUUGCAUCACUCAAAGAUGAUCCCGCGUUGUAUUAGCUAGUUGGUGAGGUAAAGGCUCACCAAGGCGAUGAUACAUAGCCGACCUGAGAGGGUGAUCGGCCACAUUGGGACGGAGACACGGCCCAAACUCCUACGGGAGGCAGCAGUAGGGAAUCUUCGGCAAUGGACGAAAGUCUGACCGAGCAACGCCGCGUGAGUGAAGAAGGUUUUCGGAUCGUAAAACUCUGUUGGUAGAGAAGAACGUUGGUGAGAGUGGAAAGCUCAUCAAGUGACGGUAACUACCCAGAAAGGGACGGCUAACUACGUG